UCCCGUUGAUCCUGCGGGAGGUUGCUGCUAUCGGGGUCAGAUUAAGGCAUGCAAGUUUGCUCGAUUCGUCGGGCGGCAGAAGGCUGAGUAACACGUUGAUAACUUCCCCUAUGGUCUAGGAUAGCCUUGCGAAAGUGAGGGUAAGACUGGAUAGGAGAUCGGUACUGGAAUGUCCUUUCUCCUAAAGGUAACGCCAUAGGAUAGGUCUGCGGUGGAUUAGGUAGUUGGCGGGGUAAUGGCCCACCAAGCCGAAGAUCCAUAGGGGUCCUGAGAGGGAUAGCCCCCAGAAGGACACUGAGAUACGGGUCCUAGCCCCACGGGGUGCAGCAGCCGCGAAACCUUUCCAAUGCACGCAAGUGUGAGAAGGUAACUCCGAGUGCUCAUGUUUUACAUGGGCUUUUGCCAAGGGUAAAUACCUUGGCGAAUAAGUGGUGGGUAAGACGGGUGCCAGCCGCCGCGGUAACACCCGCGCCACGAGUGGGAACCGCAUUAUUGGGUCUAAAGCGUCCGUAGCCGGCUCUGUAGAUUUUCUGUGAAAUUGUGUCGCUUAACGAUACAGCGGGCAGGAACGACCGCAGAGCUUGGAACCAGGAGAGGUUUGAAGUAUUCUUGGGGGAGCGGUAAAAUGUUAUAAUCCCAAGAGGACUACCGAUGGCGAAGGCAUCAAACCAGAAUGGGUUCGACGGUGAGGGACGAAAGCCAGGGGAGCGAUCCGGAUUAGAUACCCCGAGGUAGUCCCUGCCCUAAACGCUGCAAGCUAGGUGUUGCAGAAUCCCACGCGAUUUCUGCAGUGUCGUAGUGAAGAUGUUAAGCUUGCCCACCUGGGAAGUACGUUCGCAAGAAUGAAACUUAAAGGAAUUGGCGGGGGAGCACCACAAGGGGUGCGGCGUGCGGUUUAAUCGAACUCAACGCCGAGAAUCUCACCAGGAGCGACGGCAGGAUGAUAGACAGUCUGAAGGGCUUUCUUGACGAGCCGAGAGGUGGUGCAUGGCCGGCGUCAGCUCGUGCCGUAAGGUGUUCAGCUAAGUCUGACAACGAGCGAGACCUGCACUUUUAAUUGCUAACGGCGGAAUUUCCGGACUGAGCACAUUAAAAGGACUGCCCGGGAAACUGGGAGGAAGGUGCAGGCUACGCUAGGUCUGUAUGCCCCGAAUCUUCUGGGCCACACGCGCGCAACAAUGGCCGGGACAAUGGGAUACGACUCCGAAAGGAGAAGUUAAUCCUCUAAACCCGGUCCUAGUACAGAUUGAGGGUUGCAACUCACCCUCAUGACGUUGGAAUCCCUAGUAAUCGGAGUUUAUCAUACUCCGGUGAAUAUGUCCCUGCUCCUUGCACUCACCGCCCGU
This 1346-nucleotide ribosomal RNA is filed under the name uncultured euryarchaeote. RNAcentral describes it as "bacterial SSU rRNA". It matches the Rfam family "Archaeal small subunit ribosomal RNA". Lineage: Archaea; Methanobacteriati; Methanobacteriota. The record is from RNAcentral.